GUUUCUGGCUCUGGAGUCUGGCCCCAGCUGUGCCACUGACUCAGUCGCUGUGAGUGAGAGCCUUGGGCAGGCCUCAGCCCUGUUUCCCUUCAGCGUUUGCACAUGGACAACGGGGAAGCCCCCUGCUCUGCCUGCCUCAGGAGCACGGGGACAAGUAAAGGUGCUGACUCCUGGUUUCAAAGAGUCUGCCAUUAUCAGCAGGAGCAAGCACUUUCCAAGCAUCUCCAGGGGCAGGGACUUGGGCUAAGCCCUGGGAAUACGGAAGAACAUCAGACUGCCUCCAGACAUAGUCUCGUCCUCGGACUGGAAGGAAUACAGACAGGGAAGAAGGGAGACAAGGAGAAAGACCUUCUUUGGUGUACCGCUUUACAAUUUAUCAUGUGUUUUCACUUUUUCAGUUACUCUUUAAAAUUUGUUUACAGGGGAUGGGAUGGAAUCUCAGAGAAGCCAAGCACUUUGUCUGAGGUCACAAAGCCUAGGAAGACCAGGCCUCAGGGUAACCUGAUUUUAAAUUCAAGGUAAUUUCUUCUUGUUGCCCUUCUGUGAUCACCAGGAAACCCCUACUGAGGUAGGUAGGAAGUGCAGAUAUCAUCAGUGCCUUUGCUACCCACUAGCACCCUGCCUGGAUUAUUAUAGGAGGGCCCAAGAGAAGAGGAGAAACAGUGGAACAGAGAGGUCUUUUCUUUUUUUAAAUAAGUUUUGGAGAUUUUUAAAAAAGAUUUUAUUUAUUUAUUUGAGAGAGAGUGAGCACAUAAGCAGAGGGAGGGGCAGAGGCAGAGGGAGAAGCAUGCUCCCCACUGAGCAAGGAGCCUGAUGCGGGACUGGAUCCCAGGGCCCUGGGAUCGUGACCUAAGCCGAAGGCAGAUGCCCAACCGACUGAGACACCCAGGUGCCCCCAGGUCUUUUCUUUUGGAACUAAAAUUUUUAUUUUGCCCUAGGUUCCUAUGCAGUUGUAAGAUACAGCACACAGAGAGAAGAAGUACCCUUUAUCCAAGUUUUCCCAAUGGUGGCAUCUUGCAAAACUAUAGCCCAUAGUCACAGCCAGGGUGUGGACAUCAGUAUGGCCAAGGUACAGAAUGUCUCCAUGCCCCCACAUAUCCCUCCUCCCUCCGGUUGCAUUUUUACAGCCACACCCACUUCCCUCCCACCUCACCCCUCCUCCUCUGCCCUGGCGGACGGCUAAUCUGUUCUCCAUUCUUCUAAUUCUGUCAUUUCAAGGUUAUCCGAGCAAAAUCAGACCAUGUAACCUUUGGCUUUUUUCGCUCACGCGAGUUUUCUGGGAGUUCAUCUGGGCUGUUGAAUGGGUCAAGACUUCAUUCCUUUUUGCUGCUGAGGGGUUUUCUGUGGUAUGGACAUAUGCUGAACCUGUGGGAGGACAUCUGGGCCCAUUCUGGCUUUUGGCUCUUAUGAAUAAAGCUGCUGCAAACAUUUGC
Molecule: long non-coding RNA, 1433 nt
Filed under: Mustela putorius furo (domestic ferret)
Lineage: Eukaryota; Metazoa; Chordata; Mammalia; Carnivora; Mustelidae
Description: lncRNA (ENSMPUG00000030765.1)
Source: RNAcentral